GACGAACGCUGGCGGCGCGCUUAACACAUGCAAGUCGAGCGAGAACCAGACCUUCGGGUCUGGGGACAGCGGCGAACGGGUGAGUAACACGUGGGUAAUCAACCCUCGGUACUGGGAUAGCCCGGGGAAACCCGGAUUAAUACCGGAUGGCCCUUCGGAUCUUCGGUUCUGAAGGAAAAGGUAGCUUCGGCCUCCGACCGAGGACGAGCCCGCGGCGGAUUAGCUUGUUGGUGGGGUAACGGCCUACCAAGGCGGCGGUCCGUAGCUGGUCUGAGAGGACGAUCAGCCACACUGGGACUGAGACACGGCCCAGACUUCUACGGAAGGCAGCAGUGGGGAAUCUUGCGCUAAUGCGGGAAACCGUGACGCAGCGACGCCGCGUGAGGGAAGAAGGCCUUCGGGUUGUAAACCUCUUUCAGGAGGGACGAAGCUACUCGGGUUAAUAGCCCAGAGGGUGACGGUACCUUCAGAAGAAGCCCCGGCUAACUACGUGCCAGCAGCCGCGGUAA
RNAcentral lists this ribosomal RNA (509 nucleotides) under uncultured bacterium. RNAcentral describes it as "partial 16S ribosomal RNA". It matches the Rfam family "Bacterial small subunit ribosomal RNA", at positions 28 to 523 of the family's 1533-position model. The record is from RNAcentral.